GCCCUAGUAACGGCGAGUGAAGCGGCAACAGCUCAAAUUUGAAAUCUGGCCUUCGGGUCCGAGUUGUAAUUUGCAGAGGAUGCUUUUGGUGAGGUGCCUUCCGAGUUCCCUGGAACGGGACGCCUUAGAGGGUGAGAGCCCCGUACGGUUGGACACCGAACCUCUGUAAAGCUCCUUCGACGAGUCGAGUAGUUUGGGAAUGCUGCUCUAAAUGGGAGGUAAAUUUCUUCUAAAGCUAAAUAUUGGCCAGAGACCGAUAGCGCACAAGUAGAGUGAUCGAAAGAUGAAAAGCACUUUGAAAAGAGGGUUAAACAGCACGUGAAAUUGUUGAAAGGGAAGCGUUUGCGACCAGACUUUUUCCUAGCGGAUCAUCCGGUGGUUUCCACCGGUGCACUUCGCGAGGAUUAGGCCAGCAUCGGCUUCUGUAGGGGGAUAAAAACAGUGGGAACGUGGCUCCCCCGGGAGUGUUAUAGCCCUCUGUAUAAUACCCUUAUAGGGGCCGAGGACCGCGCCUUCGGGCAAGGAUGCUGGCGUAAUGGUCGCCAACGACCCGUCUUGAAACACGGACCAAGGAGUCGAACAUUGAUGCGAGUGUUAGGGUGUUAAACCCCUGCGCGAAAUGAAAGUGAACGUAGGUGAGAGCCCUUUACGGGGUGCAUCAUCGACCGAUCUUGAUGUCUUCGGAUGGAUUUGAGUAAGAGCAUCACUGUUCGGACCCGAAAGAUGGUGAACUAUGCGUGGAUAGGGUGAAGCCAGAGGAAACUCUGGUGGAGGCUCGCAGCGGUUCUGACGUGCAAAUCGAUCGUCAAAUCUGCGCAUGGGGGCGAAAGACUUAUCGA
Molecule: ribosomal RNA, 839 nt
Filed under: Nemania plumbea
Lineage: Eukaryota; Fungi; Ascomycota; Sordariomycetes; Xylariales; Xylariaceae
Description: eukaryotic LSU rRNA
Rfam family: Eukaryotic large subunit ribosomal RNA
Source: RNAcentral